CGAGCCGGCCGGGCGGCCGCGAGGGAUCUCCCGAUCCCCCGAGGAACGUCCGGGCUCCACACGGCAGGGUGGUGGGUAACACCCACCCGGGGUGACCCGCGGGACAGUGCCACAGAAAACAGACCGCCGGGCCUCUUCGGAGCGCCCGGUAAGGGUGAAACGGUGGUGUAAGAGACCACCAGUGCCCAGGGUGACCUGGGCAGCUAGGUAAACCCCACCCGGAGCAAGGUCAAGAGGAGCCGUCACGGCUCUGCGCGGACGCUUGAGGGCUGCCCGCCCGAGUCCGCGGGUAGACCGCACGAGCCCGCCGGCAACGGCGGGCCUAGAUGGAUGGCCGCCUCCCCGCGGCCCGCAAGGGCCCCGGGAGACAGAACCCGGCGUAUAAGCCGACUCGUCCG
Molecule: RNase P RNA, 398 nt
Filed under: Streptomyces caatingaensis
Lineage: Bacteria; Bacillati; Actinomycetota; Actinomycetes; Kitasatosporales; Streptomycetaceae
Description: Bacterial RNase P class A
Rfam family: Bacterial RNase P class A
About the family: Ribonuclease P (RNase P) is a ubiquitous endoribonuclease, found in archaea, bacteria and eukarya as well as chloroplasts and mitochondria. Its best characterised activity is the generation of mature 5'-ends of tRNAs by cleaving the 5'-leader elements of precursor-tRNAs.
Source: Rfam by way of RNAcentral